This 728-nucleotide ribosomal RNA is filed under the name uncultured bacterium. RNAcentral describes it as "bacterial SSU rRNA". It matches the Rfam family "Bacterial small subunit ribosomal RNA", at positions 773 to 1501 of the family's 1533-position model. The record is from RNAcentral.
CAGGAUUAGAUACCCUGGUAGUCCACGCCGUAAACGAUGUCGACUUGGAGGUUGUGCCCUUGAGGCGUGGCUUCCGGAGCUAACGCGUUAAGUCGACCGCCUGGGGAGUACGGCCGCAAGGUUAAAACUCAAAUGAAUUGACGGGGGCCCGCACAAGCGGUGGAGCAUGUGGUUUAAUUCGAUGCAACGCGGAGAACCUUACCUGGUCUUGACAUCCACGGAAGUUUUCAGAGAUGAGAAUGUGCCUUCGGGAACCGUGAGACAGGUGCUGCAUGGCUGUCGUCAGCUCGUGUUGUGAAAUGUUGGGUUAAGUCCCGCAACGAGCGCAACCCUUAUCCUUUGUUGCCAGCGGUCCGGCCGGGAACUCAAAGGAGACUGCCAGUGAUAAACUGGAGGAAGGUGGGGAUGACGUCAAGUCAUCAUGGCCCUUACGACCAGGGCUACACACGUGCUACAAUGGCGCAUACGAAGAGAAGCGACCUCGCGAGAGCAAGCGGACCUCAUAAAGUGCGUCGUAGUCCGGAUUGGAGUCUGCAACUCGACUCCAUGAAGUCGGAAUCGCUAGUAAUCGUGGAUCAGAAUGCCACGGUGAAUACGUUCCCGGGCCUUGUACACACCGCCCGUCACACCAUGGGAGUGGGUUGCAAAAGAAGUAGGUAGCUUAACCUUCGGGAGGGCGCUUACCACUUUGUGAUUCAUGACUGGGGUGAAGUCGUAACAAGGUAACC